UGCCUUAGGUAUGCAAGUCGUGCGAGCCCGCAAGGGCUAGCGGCGGACGGGUGAGUAAUGCAUUGGAACGUGCCCUAAAGUUCGGGAUACCCAGCCGAAAGGUUGGCUAAUACCGGAUGUGACCUCCGGGUCAAAGCUUCGGCGCUUUAGGAUCGGCCAAUGUCCCAUCAGGUAGUUGGUAGGGUAAUGGCCUACCAAGCCGACGACGGGUAGCUGGUCUGAGAGGAUGGACAGCCACAAGGGAACUGAGAUACGGUCCCUACUCCUACGGGAGGCAGCAAUCGGGAAUCUUGCGCAAUGGGCGAAAGCCUGACGCAGCGACGCCGCGUGAAGGAUGAAGGCCUUCGGGUCGUAAACUUC
RNAcentral lists this ribosomal RNA (360 nucleotides) under uncultured organism. Its description in RNAcentral is "bacterial SSU rRNA". It matches the Rfam family "Bacterial small subunit ribosomal RNA", at positions 45 to 433 of the family's 1533-position model. The record is from RNAcentral.